RNAcentral lists this ribosomal RNA (253 nucleotides) under uncultured prokaryote. RNAcentral's name for it is "partial 16S ribosomal RNA". It matches the Rfam family "Bacterial small subunit ribosomal RNA", at positions 525 to 777 of the family's 1533-position model. The record is from RNAcentral.
ACGUAGGGUGCGAGCGUUAAUCGGAAUUACUGGGCGUAAAGCGUGCGUAGGUGGUUCGUUAAGUCUGUUGUGAAAUCCCUGGGCUCAACCUGGGAAUGGCAAUGGAUACUGGCGAGCUAGAGUGCGGUAGAGGGCUGUGGAAUUCCCGGUGUAGCGGUGAAAUGCGUAGAGAUCGGGAGGAACAUCCGUGGCGAAGGCGGCAGCCUGGACCAGCACUGACACUGAGGCACGAAAGCGUGGGGAGCAAACAGGA